GGCUCGCGAAUUCGCGCUUGAUAGAUACCGUCGUAGUCCUAACUAUAAACGAUACCAACAAGAGAUUGGUAGUGAAACCAUUUAAUAGAUCCUCUCAGAAUCCAAGGGAAACCUAAAGUCUUUGGGUUCUGGGGGGAGUAUAGUCGCAAGGCCGAAACUUAAAGGAAUUGACGGAAAGGCACCACCAGGAGUGGAGUUUGCGGCUUAAUUCGACUCAACGCGGGAAAACUCACCAGGUCAGGACAGAGGUAUGAUUGACAGGUUGAAAGUCUUUUCUUGAUUCUCUGGAUGGUGGUGCAUGGCCGUUCUUAGUUCGUGGAGUGAUUUGUCUUGUUAAUUCAGUUAACGAACGAGACCUUAACCUACUAACUAGGCUAUAGGCCAGGCUUUCGGGUCUGGUUAGUUUCUUCGGGGUGGUUCGUAUGGGCCAUCUCUUGAAACCUAUAACAUGGGACUUCACUUUCGGGUGGAGUCCUUGCUUCUUAGAGGGACAAUACUUCGUUUAUAUUAGAGUAAGGAAGUUUAAGGCAAUAACAGGUCUGUGAUGCUCUUAGA
Molecule: ribosomal RNA, 555 nt
Filed under: Allovahlkampfia sp.
Lineage: Eukaryota; Heterolobosea; Eutetramitea; Acrasida; Acrasidae
Description: SSU rRNA
Rfam family: Eukaryotic small subunit ribosomal RNA
Source: RNAcentral